AGCCUUAGGUAAAUAUCUAAGGUUUGACCUGCCCAAUGUACAGAAUUAAGUAUCAACAAUAAAUGGCCGCGGUACUUUGACCGUGCUAAGGUAGCGUAAUCAGUUGGCUCUUAAUUGGGGUCAGGAAUGAAUGGAGUUACGGGGCUUUACUGUCUUUUUACUAAUACCUUGAAGUUACUAUGUAAGUGAAAAAGCUUAUACCUAGAAAAAGGACGAGAAGACCCUUAGAGUUUUAUUAAACUAUAAAUUAUUAUUUAUAUCAUUUUGGUUGGGGCAACUUGGGAUGCAAUAUAUUUAAUAAUCUCUCUAAUAUUACACACCGAUUAUAUUAAAUUUGGAUAAACUACCUUAGGGAUAACAGCAUUAUUUUAUAUUGAAGUUUGUGACCUCGAUGUUGGACUAGGAAACUGAAAGGCUAGCCGUCUUUCGGGAAAGUUCUGUUCGAACUAUUAUUCCU
This 457-nucleotide ribosomal RNA is filed under the name Verconia protea. RNAcentral describes it as "Noumea protea partial 16S ribosomal RNA". It matches the Rfam family "Archaeal large subunit ribosomal RNA", at positions 1909 to 2665 of the family's 2987-position model. Lineage: Eukaryota; Metazoa; Mollusca; Gastropoda; Nudibranchia; Chromodorididae. The record is from RNAcentral.